This is an RNA transcript of Puntigrus tetrazona (Sumatra barb), 3277 nucleotides long. It is a transcript of the gene named sushi domain containing 1, with no coding region annotated. The record is from RefSeq and is a predicted model, not a curated record. NCBI's taxonomy places the organism in Eukaryota, Metazoa, Chordata, Actinopteri, Cypriniformes, Cyprinidae. The transcript has 21 exons.
UGUGUCGAGGGGUGUGUAAGGAGGGUGAUAGGGCAGAAAACGCUUAUCUUUUACUCGCCACCCUCCAGAAUUUGGCGCAGUAAAUAUGUCACGCUUACGCGCUGAGAAGUGUUAUUUGUACUCGUCAUGACAUUAUGAAUGUUAUUGUUGUUCUUUAGAAUAAUCGUAAAUAAAACUUCAUUUGUUUUAUGAAGUAGGUUAUUCUUGUGUGCUUCAGAAAUACAGUAUGUAGACCACAACCUUCACCUUUCAAAAGACUUCAGAAUGGAGGAGGAGGGUCUUUAAGGGGAAGUUAGGAGAAAAGUGAUAUUUUAAGUUCGCCGGAACAGAUGAGAGAAAAACAGCGAUGCCUGUCGUACGAGCGGCCUUAUGCUUUCUGAUGAUUCAAAGCAUCUUUAAAGAUAUAAGAACGAAGGCGGACACGGUGGAUGUUUGUGCCUCUUGCCAUCAAAAUGCCACCUGUGAUGAUAAAACCGACGGAUCUGGGGGGAAAGUGUGCAACUGCAUGUAUGGAUUUGUUGGCAACGGGAGGACUUACUGCCAAGAUAAAGACGAGUGUCAGCUGGGCAAAAUCUGUGGCGAUCACACCAAGUGUCACAACACGUAUGGCAGCUAUUACUGCACCUGUCUCAGAGGCUACAGCCCGUCCAAUCGCAUGAGCACGUUCAUACCCAAUGAUGGAACGUACUGCCUUGAUAUAGACGAGUGUGGUGUGCAGGGGGUCUGUGGUGAAGGAGGUCUCUGUCACAACACAGAGGGAGAUUUCACCUGCUCCUGUCAGGUGGGUUACACAGUCCAGGAUGGGUCAGAGCCCUUUAAUCCGAACCGGGAUGCAGCAUACUGCAAGGUGAUAGACUGUGGGUCUCCUCCAUCAGUCCUCCACGCCGAGCAGCUCUCUACCACGAUCACGCACUACAGCAGUGAGCUCCAGUACGGCUGCAGGGAGGGAUUUCAGUGGAAGAGAGGACAGAAUUACUCAGUCUGUGACCUGGACGGAAAGUGGCACGGACCCAGUCUGGUCUGUGAAGAAGUGGACUGCGGGGAGCCUGGCGUUUUUCCUCGGUCAAAAGCGGUUUGGGAUAACAUCUCACGCAUGGGAUCACUGGCGCUGUAUGUGUGUGAGCCACAUUUUUAUAACAGUGGGCGUGAGAAUGUAUCUGUAUGUACUGCUGGCGGGACGUGGAGCCGUCCUGACUUCCGCUGUGAAGAGAUACAGUGCGGUUCUCCUCUGGUCCUGAGUCACUCAGUGUUGUUCUGGAACGGUGUCAGUAAGAUUGGUUCCGUGGCUCUGUAUGACUGUGAUGUUGGAUAUCGCAGUUUGGAUGCAGGCAACAUGUCUGUGUGUGAAAGUGACGGUCAGUGGAGUAACCCAGACUAUUCUUGUGAAGAGAUUGUGUGUGGGGAGCCACCUAUACUGCCCCUCACUGUACACACAUGGAAUGGCAGAGUCACAUUUAACAGCACUGUAACAUAUCACUGCAAACACGGUUACUAUGCUAAACAAGGACUUAAUAUAUCUGUGUGUGCUGAGAACGGUUACUGGACAAAACCAACUCUGUUGUGCGAAGAGGUGAGCUGUGGAGUGCCGCCUUCUCUCCACCUCUCUGUUAUGAUAUGGAAAGGAGACGCUAAAGUUGGAUCUAGUGUGUCUUAUAAGUGCGUUGAGGGAUUUCAUAAUGUUAGGGAAGGACAUACAUCAAUUUGCAAUUCAGAGGGAAUGUGGAGUCGUCCUGAUUUUCUGUGUCAAGAAGUAGACUGUGGGGUCCCCGUCUCUCUACCUCACUCAGUCGUGUUAUGGAAUAACAGCUCCAGUCUGGGCUCUGUGGCCCUCUAUGCGUGCGAAGCUGGAUAUCGCACAGUGGGUGAAGGAAAUGUGUCUUUGUGUAACUCAAAUGCGAAGUGGAGCAAAGUUAGCAUGAGAUGUGAAGAGAUAAACUGCGGGGCUCCCCCAGAAUUCCCACUAACAGAUAUAUACUGGAACAAGGCAUCUACACUGGGCAGUGUGGUUCAGUACAAAUGUAAAUAUGGGCUCAAACAGGAGAGUGACAAAAAUAUGACGACAUGUACAUCAGAUGGAUCAUGGGAAAAAGUGUCUGUAACAUGUACAGCACAUUGUGGCCCUGCUCCAGAGGUGGCGCACGCGGAGGUAGCAUGGGACAACGGCACUGCAGUGAUCCACCGCUGUGUUAGAGGACACUACAGACGCACAGGAAGUGACAUUUCAAUAUGUGACAUCUCAGGAAAGUGGCAGAUCGCCACCCUGCAUUGCAAAGAGUUGAAGCUGACAGUUAACCAUUUAGUGGUGAUUAACGAAAGAUGCCUGCGCUGGAAUGCGGAGAAUGAGGGUUAUAGGGAGAAAUACGCUGUGACAUUCGUUGGUUCGCGGGACUUUGAGCAGCCGUUCAGUGACAGGAAAAAAAAGACAUUUAGCUCCUCUGCCCUGUGGCCUGUUUUCUGCUUGAAUCUCUUGCCGGCCACAAACUACACCAUAACCAUUACAGCCGAGUCCACGCGAGCCACGUCUACAGUCACAGCGAACACUAGCAUACCAGUUCCCCCCACACCGUAAAUCAAAUACAGCGAGGUAGAGGCUUCAUCGCCCACCCUCAGAUUACGGAGAUCCACUAACACACUUGACUCAAUAUGGAAAAAACUGAGGAUGGAUUUUGUGCGUCUCCUUUGCUUUUAUGACUGCAUCACUUGAGCAUGAACAAAAUAUUAUGAACUGAAGAUCAUGAAGAGUUUAGAUGAUCAAUGUCUGAAAUCAGUUAGUGACCUGGAAAUGUAUGUACCAGGUGUUUGUGAUACCAGUCGAGGGCGUGAUGCUGUUUGACUGCAGCUCGUCUGUAAGUCCGCGGUUUUUCACGCAGCAGCGGUGUGACAGAGGCUACGUCACGGCCCAGAUACAGCUCAGCGGUCUGCCCGCAGAUAUCAACUUCACCAUAGGGGACCAGCAGCUGUAUGGAGACUUCUUCAAUGCACCUCUGGAAAAUGGAAAAGACUAUUACGUCAUCCUCCGCACUGUGUGUCAGUGGGGAAAAGCUAGAACACAGUCCUGUGUGAUCUGGGCUAAAGCCAGAGGAACAUCCUACAUCAUGAAGAUGUCCGCUCUUGUAACCGUUGGAUCCAUAAGUGCUGUUGGCUCGGUCAUUGUCGUGGGAUACUGGUACAGCUGGUACUGUAAAAAGUCAAGUCCCGGAUUUUACUCUGCGCCAAUUUUAACAUCUUACACUGACUGACUGCUUUUGCAAUAAAGCCGAUCUGUUUGUAAAGCUGA